This 253-nucleotide ribosomal RNA is filed under the name uncultured bacterium. RNAcentral describes it as "partial 16S ribosomal RNA". It matches the Rfam family "Bacterial small subunit ribosomal RNA", at positions 524 to 776 of the family's 1533-position model. The record is from RNAcentral.
UACGUAGGGUGCAAGCGUUAAUCGGACUUACUGGGCGUCAAGCGUGCGCAGGCGGUUGUGCAAGACCGAUGUGAAAUCCCCGGGCUUAACCUGGGAAUGGCAUUGGUGACUGCACGGCUAGAGUGUGUCAGAGGGGGGUAGAAUUCCACGUGUAGCAGUGAAAUGCGUAGAGAUGUGGAGGAAUACCGAUGGCGAAGGCAGCCCCCUGGGAUAACACUGACGCUCAUGCACGAAAGCGUGGGGAGCAAACAGG